GUGCUCACUUUGGCAGCACAUAUUCUAAAAAUGGAAUGAUACAGAGAAAAAUAGCAUGGCCCCU
Molecule: small nuclear RNA, 64 nt
Organism: Ailuropoda melanoleuca (giant panda)
Lineage: Eukaryota; Metazoa; Chordata; Mammalia; Carnivora; Ursidae
Source: Ensembl